GGCAGCGUCAUAGCACUCGAGGAGGUCUUGUAUAUUUUUGUAAUUGCGGUGUUCCGUUGAGAUGUAUUUCAUAUUAUAAUAAUAAAUGGACGACGGCGGCACAGAAAUUGCACGAUGGGGUGACAAUGAAUUCACGGGCGCCGCAGCGCGGUUCAAAACGAUGUUUCGCCUCUUUGCGGCAGUUGUUCUCUUCCCUAUCUCUCCCCCACUGAAUUCGUUUAGUGUUGUGUUUGACGUUAAAAUCAUAAAGGAGUUUACGAACUGCCAAAUACGAUUAGG
Cinara cedri is the source of this 279-nucleotide non-coding RNA. Lineage: Eukaryota; Metazoa; Arthropoda; Insecta; Hemiptera; Aphididae. The record is from the annotation of a GenBank genome assembly.